UACGAAGGGGGCUAGCGUUGCUCGGAAUUACUGGGCGUAAAGCGCACGUAGGCGGCUCUUUAAGUCGGGGGUGAAAUCCUGGAGCUCAACUCCAGAACUGCCUUCGAUACUGUAGAGCUUGAGUUCGGGAGAGGUGAGUGGAACUGCGAGUGUAGAGGUGAAAUUCGUAGAUAUUCGCAAGAACACCAGUGGCGAAGGCGGCUCACUGGCCCGAUACUGAUGCUGAGGUGCGAAAGCGUGGGGAGCAAACAGGG
RNAcentral lists this ribosomal RNA (254 nucleotides) under uncultured bacterium. RNAcentral's name for it is "partial 16S ribosomal RNA". It matches the Rfam family "Bacterial small subunit ribosomal RNA", at positions 524 to 777 of the family's 1533-position model. The record is from RNAcentral.